Molecule: long non-coding RNA, 535 nt
Filed under: Lathyrus oleraceus (garden pea)
Lineage: Eukaryota; Viridiplantae; Streptophyta; Magnoliopsida; Fabales; Fabaceae
Description: Pisum sativum (pea) long non-coding RNA (PSAT_LNC042001)
Source: RNAcentral
UUUGAAAUUAAGAUUAUGAUACUUUUUAUUUUGAUUUUGGAAAAGAAUUGAAAUGUGUUUGAUUUGCAGUAAUUGAGUUGGAUUGCUUUUGAAAUAUUUUGGAAAGUUUUUUUUUGAAUUGAUUUGGAACAAUAGUUAGUAACCGUGUUUUUGGAUUUGGGAAAAUGGUUAUUGGGAUAUGUUUUUUUUUUAUUUUUUUGAUAAUUGGACAUGUCUAUUUAUAAUAAAAUUAUAAGGUUAAAACAUUAAAAUAAAUUGAGAAAUCAAUGUUAAUAACUUCUAAUAAAAAAAAUCAUUUCCAUGAUUUUAUGCAACAUAUAGAAUAAUUUAUGUUUAAUAUAUUUUUUAAUUUGGAAAAAGUUUUCCAAAAUAAAAUAAAUCAGAAAAUUAUCAAUAAAAAGAAAAACAAAUGAAAAUUAAUAAAUAUAAAUUCCCUUUUUUAUUUUUUGACUUAUUUACUUACUCAUAUUGAUUAUUUUCAAAAAUAAAAAUAUUAUCCUAAAAAUAGAAUAAUCUAAAAAGAAUGAAACCUUUA